AUACAAUGAUGAUAACAUAGUUCAGCAGACUAACGCUGAUGAGCAAUAUUAAGUCUUUCGCUCCUAUCUGAUGUAUCUGGCGGUAACAUUCUAGUUUAUGCCCUGAAAAGGGGAAUAUAGCCAUUCUAUAAUGUUUGGAGAUUUUGGAUUACUCCUAAUUGUAUGCAAGUUGUCUUACUGUGUAUUGUCCCUUAAUUUCAGGACUCAGAAUUCAUGAUUGAAGAAAUGCAGGCAGACCUGUUAUCCUAAACUAGGGUUUUUAACGACCACAACAAGCAAGCAUGCAGCUUACUGCUUGAAAGGGUCUUGCCUCACCCAAGCUGGAGUGCAGUGGCCUUUGAAGCUUACUACAGCCUCAAACUUCUGGGCUCAAGUGAUCCUCAGCCUCCCAGUGGUCUUUGUAGACUGCCUGAUGGAGUCUCAU
RNAcentral lists this small RNA (424 nucleotides) under Pan troglodytes (chimpanzee). RNAcentral's name for it is "retained intron". The stretch from base 1 to 79 matches the Rfam family "Small nucleolar RNA snR60/Z15/Z230/Z193/J17". Lineage: Eukaryota; Metazoa; Chordata; Mammalia; Primates; Hominidae. The record is from RNAcentral.